This 33060-nucleotide long non-coding RNA is filed under the name Populus tremula. RNAcentral describes it as "long non-coding RNA (PTRE_LNC002436)". Lineage: Eukaryota; Viridiplantae; Streptophyta; Magnoliopsida; Malpighiales; Salicaceae. The record is from RNAcentral.
AAAUUUGUUUCCAUCUAGAAAGAGGUAAAGUAGAUCAGUCAUGUUGAACACAGAUGGUGGUAAUCGCCCAUUGAAGUUGUUGUUGGACAACUUCAAAAACCACAACGAGGAGCCUACUGUUGGCAAAUUAUGCUCAAGCAGUUCACAAGACAUAUGAUUGUUGGAAAGAUCCAAGUAUCCGAGAGAGCUCAUAUUCCCAAAACAAGGAGGAAUGCAACCUGUGAGGCUAUUGUUAGCCAUCAAGAAGUUCUUUAACCGUGGAAAAAUUGAACAUAUGUUCCUUGCAAUUUGACCAUGUAUGGUGUUGCCAGACAUAUCUAUUGUAUGAAGAUUGGGUGUUGGAUGUUGUGGCAGCUGCAAAGGACCUAUAAAUGAGGUGUCUCUCAAAUAUAGUCGAUUUAACUUUGUAUUAUUCUCAAACAGCCAAGACGGGAAAGGUUCUCCAAUGAAUUUGUUGUGGGAUAGAUCAACAAACACCAAAUCAUGUUGGCUAUGCAGGAAGUUUGGAAAUCUAGCUUUGAGUGGUUUUGAAGUACAGUUUGCAGCACUGAAGUAAAGAAGCUGUAACUUGGGAGCUGAAGGCUGAAAACUGGGUGCAGCUAUUAGCUCAUUGUUAUCGCAUACAAUGAACUUGAGGUUGGAGAGGUUCAUAAAUGAACCAAAUGAUAUUGGAACUUGAAAGUAGUUAUUUGAAACUUUGAGGUAUCUGAGCUGCGUAAGAUGGGAAAGGUGACUAGAGGCAAUAUUCCCCUUCAAUUGGUUGUCAGAUAAAUCCAAGAUUUGUAGAGAUGAUAGAUUUCCCAAACAAUGAGGGAGUGAGCCCUUUAGAUUGUUUCCUGAGAUAAGUAGUUGUUCAAGAUUCUUCAGAUUCUUCAGUUCACACCAGCCUGUAGAAUAUAUUAAUAUAUUCAUGUUAAGGGAAUAAUAAUAUAUCAAUUAUGCAAGUGCUUAGUGAGGUUUUAAAGUUUUAGUUGAUUUUUGUUUCAAUAGCUAGGUCAGUUCUAGAUUAUAUUUAAACAACUUUGUUUGUUAGUUUUUUUAGAGAUUAAUUAUCUAGAUUAUUGAUAUUCAAAAUUUUUUUAAUUCAAAUUUUUUUCUAUAAUUUAAGACUGGGAAGUUUUAGAGAUUAAGAAACUCUAGAUUUUUGGUCAAGAAGGAUAGAGUGGAAGUAUCCAUUUUGUGUAUUGUAAUAUAAUCAUCUGUUAAAUAGAAGGAAAACAGAGAAAUAAAUGAGAGGAGAAUGAUUUUGUUAUUUCUUGUGUGCGUAAUCCUCCUACCAUUAUAUAUAUACUUCCCCACAUGCAUUACACGAUUUAUUAUAUUGUUAACUAACUCUACCCGACUCUUAACAACUUCUAACACGUGUCCAUGCAUCUGCUAGUUACCCUAAAUUUAAGACUGAGAAAUUUUAGAUUGAGAAACUCUAGAUUUUAUCCUUUUCUAUAUGUAACAUUAGGAGUAAACUUCUAACAUAUCACCUCCAUUCCUUUAAUAAAAUUUUAAAAAUUGAACAAAAGUUAAUGGUUAAUACACAUCUAUUUAUUAGACAAGUUCACUAAAAAAUAAAUUAAGCCUCACUAAGGAAUGCCAUUCAAGAUAGGAAUGAUUUACAACUUUAUCAUUAAUACUAGUUGAUCCUGUCAACAUGUUUUUGAUAAAUAUAGAGAUUUGAGAGUUGAAAACCCACUUAAAGAUGAUAAAACACUGUCAUUAAAUUUACUGUAACUCAGAUCAAGUUCUUUCAAAUUCCUCAACCCUCAAGCUAAUACUUGAAAACAUGAAAGAAAAUUAUGGGAAACAAAGAAAUUAACAGAUAUAUACAGAUUUAUAUAUCAAUCAUCCCAAUAUCCAUAAAGAUUCAAUGUAAAGUUACUUGAAAUAUAAUUAACUUUAUGUGUUAACUAAAAGAAAAUUGAAAGCAUAGAACCUUGGUUCUUGAAGCCACCAACUAAUUGGUUGAAGCUUAAGUCGAGAAUCUCCAGUUCUUUGAAAGGCAGAAACAAAGACGCAUUGAGAUACAAGUACUCUUCGACUGCAUUGAGACCCAAGUCCUCAUAAUUUACACCUGAAAGAUGUAGUUCGAUCACUCGGUUUGUGGUGUUGUCACACACAACCCUAUGCGGAUCCCAGUCACAGCAAUUAAAAUACUCUUUAUCCCAACCUUCUAGCUGAUCAUAGGACCCAGCUGCACGUGCAUGAUUGAACCAAGCUUUUAUCUCUAAGAGACUAACUCUCUCUUCCUCCACACAACAAUGGCUCCGGUCGUUGACGAAGGACAGUGCCAUGAGGAGCAUCCACACCCACAUUUCCCUCAUCUUCAUAACGCUCCACUUGACCACAUACAAAAGCAAGCAAGCAAGCUGUCUCUUAUAUACAAUUUAAUUUGUCCUCUUCAUGCGUUUGAUCAUAGGAUUUUCCCGUGAUAAACUUUUAGACUUUGGUGGUCUCCUCACGAUCUUUUUUCAGAGAAAUCUGCUUCUCAUUUGUAGUUUGCCAUCUUCCUACUGUCGCACUAGCUUUAAUGAUAUGUCCACUUGAUUAUUAUAAAAGAAAAAUAAAAAUACUCCACGUCCACUAUUGUCAGCUUUCGAGAACGCAUGCAGGACCCAGUUUAAUCUCAAUAUGGAUUUUUAUAAGCAAAUCUUAGAGAAACAGUUUCCUGCAUAAUUACUAGAAUUUUUUGGUUUGAUUUAAUUUGAUAUUAAUGAUUUUUCACCUUUUGUCUGAGAUCAAGUACCUAAUGAAACCUUGAAUGGAGCACCCAUUUGUACGCAUAUGCUUGACUUGAGGUCUGCCAUUUUGAUUUUAAAAUACCAUCAAGCAGUAAUUUCUUGGCGGUUUCCUUAUAGAAACUGGUGGUCUCCUCACGACCUUUUAAUUUAAAAAAAAACUCUUGUCGGAGCAUGAUUUAAAAGCUAGGAUUCAACCAGUAUCAGGGAAUGACUGUCAUCUUUUAAAGAAAUUUGAUCACCCACUUUCACUUGUUUUUCGUUGUGGACCUCCGUUGCGAAGUUGCAGUGAAACAAACUCGCAAUUGCAGCAGGUGCCUAAUAAUGAACAAGAAGAUAAUGGUUUCAUAGAUAAUAUUGGGGGAGCAAAUGAGCAAUUAUAAUAUUGGGGGGGAGCAAUUAUAUUGGGGGAGGGCCGGACCAAUUAUAUUGGGGGCCUUUAAAUUGAAAUCGUAAAAUCGGUCCUAAUAUCGUGAUUUUGCGCGAUAUCAUCCGUUUUUUGCGAUUUUACCUGAUUUCAACCUGAUUUUAUCCAUUUUCGAUUUUUUUAACCGAUUCAACUCGUAAUGCAUGUUUUGACUCGUAAAAUCGUACGAUUUUACGAGUCACGCGAUUUUGACAACCUUGGUGACGAUGGUGGAACUGAUGCGGUUGCAUAGCAGCACCAACCAGUACUUUAAUUUCCUAAUGAUUUCCUUGCGGAAGAAAUUAUGGCAUGUUGGAAAACGAUGCCACCCUAACAAUCCAAGAGCUCAAAUUCAACUUGAAUAAAAGCAUGAUAAAUGGAUAAUUUAGAGGAGAAAGGAUCCAAGAACAUCAUGAAACAGGGGAUUGUUAUAUUUUGUUACCCUAACAAUCCAAGAGCUCAAAUUCAACUUGAAUAAAAGCAUGAUAAUUUAGUGGAGAAAGGACCAAGAACAUCAUGAAACAGGGGAUUGUUCUAUUUUGUUAUGUAACAAUCUCAACAGCUAAUUAAGAGGUUAGAUUGUAGGGUCUAAUUUCAAAUGCAAGACUCUAUUGAUUCUCAUCAUUAUAGUAAUAAAACCAUGUGCAUUUUUAUUAAAUUAAGAGGAAACACAAAAUUAAACAAGAAAAUCUUCAGAGUUCAGAAAUAAAUCUAACAUUGCCGAACAGACUGUGAGCAAACCCAGAUUUGGUGGAAGAUAGAAAUAUGAAGAGAGAGCAGAAAUCUUAGAUAAUUCUAUGAAGAGAGAGCAGAAAUCUUAGAUAACAGUUUGUAGAAUAUUGUUGUUUGUUAUGUGAGUUUGGGCAACCAUAGGUCCUAUUUAUAACACGCUUUGUCCAUUUCCAUGACUUUUAUCUGCGUACCUGGUGCCGAUUCUAUGUUUUGAGAUGUUUUCUUUAUUUCAUUUCUUUUUUUAAUAGUUUUGGAUUCGAAUAUUAUUUCAUUUAUUUGUUUAGCCUUAGGUGUAUUUGGGAAUGUGUUUUUCGUUGUUUUUCAAAGUAGUUUUCACUUGGAAAUGUAUCAACAUGAUAUUGUUUGGCCUUAGGGUAUGUUUAGUAGUGUGGUUAGAUGUCUUAAUACGAACCUUGAAAACAUGGUCAAAACAAUAUUUUAUAAAAAUUUGAUUUUUUAUUAAAAUUAUUUUUUAUAUAUUUUUAGUUAGUUAUAAUGUAUUAAUAUCAAAAAUAAAUUUUAGAAAAUAAAAAAUAUAUUAUUUUGAUAUAUAUUCGAGCAAAAAUAUAUUUUAAAAAACAACCCUUAUUACAAUAAUGGUGAUUUCCUUAUGCAUACUAGCGGUCUUCAUUAAUAUUUCAAAAAAUCAUCAUUAAACCUGGUUUGGGGUUGACUAGGAAUAAGGCUGGGGUCAUGAUUUUUUUUAUUAGGUCACUAGAUUAACUUAGAUCAACUCCAAUAUAUAUAUAUAUAUAUAUAUUCAAGUCAAGCUAAGCAUUAACCGAGUCACUUAGAUUUUUCCCUUUUUCAAUUUUUUUAAACUUGUCCCGGUUUUGAUCCUCAAUCAAAUGGGUUUCAUCUUGAUUUAUCUAUAUGUUAAAUUACUUGAUUAACUAAAUUAAUUCUGUAAUAUUGAAUUAUUUGAUGAAAACAUUAUCUAAAACAUGAUUAAUCUUACUUUUAAUAUUAAAAAUUAUGUUUCAACAUAAACUCUUUAAUGUAAAAAUUUAACAUAAUUAAAAUAAAUAGUGAUUACCGUUUCAGCAAUUGAUUUGAUCUUGGCCUUACAAUUAUUUUCAUUAGUCUGUUAAUGUUUUUCUUCAAGCUUAUGGAAAGGGAGGUUUCUCCAACUUGUUGUGUAAGCUCCUUUGCUUUUUGUUUUUCAUAGACUUGGGAAGUCAUUUGUCUCUUAUAACACAAUAAUUGAUGUGUGAAACAACAUCGUUUUAUAUGGAAAAAAAAUAAAGAGUUAACCGAGUAUUUAUUCAAGUCAUGCCAAUCAUUAACCGAGUCAUUUGGAUUUUUUUUCCUUUUUUAUUUUGUAAACUCGACCUUGUUUUGGGCUCCGUUUGUUUGCAGGAAAGUGGUUUCCUUUUGGAAAGUGAAUUCCGGGGAAAGUGAAUUUCUGAAAAGUGAAUUCCGGGAAAGUAUUUUCCGAUGUUUGGUAGUGUUAUGGAAAAUGAACUGGAAAAUAAUUUAUUAAUGAAUUAAAUUUUUUUUCAAGUUUAUCUAAUAUAUAUAAAAUAUUUAAUCACUUACAAUUGUCAUAACCCAAUUUUUGACCCUUUUUUAUUUUUAUUAUUUUAAAAAAAAAGAUGAUGAAAAAUAAAAAUAAAAUAAAUGAAGAAUGAAUUAAAAUUUGGGUUAAGGGCAACAUGAUUGGAAGUUUAAAGAUUUAAUUAAACUCUUGACUAGUUUAAUUAAUUAAAUCAAGGUUUUAAUUGGAGAAUUGAUUUAAUUAAAAUUUAGAUUAUUUUAAUUAAUGAAAUCAAGAGUUUAAUUGAAGAAUUAAUGAGUUUGAGGACUUAAUUAUACUUUGAUUUAAUCAAAAAUCCAGGACUGUUGUGUAAAUGGCGCUAUAACUCAAGGAUUCAAUUGAAUUUAAUCCAAGGGCACAAUUAGAAAUCAAUUAUUUCUGAUUAGGGUCCCAAUUGUUAAGUUUACACUGUCUAGGGACUAAAUUGAAAAACAGCCAUGCCCAAGGACACAACGGCGCCGUUUUGGAAGCAUUGUUCAUCGUCUCCUACGCUUGCGCGGAUGAAGCCUUGUUCAACAGGGAAAUCUGCUGCAACAAAUCCGGUCAUGGACCAUAUCUCUUGCCCACGAUCUCGUUCGUGGAUUCCAUAACAGUCCUGCAAAUGUAGGACUGGUUGAGGGGAAGCUUCUCUAUAAAAGGGGGGACGCAAGCACACCAGGAAAAAAAACCCAUCAUAAACAGAAGAAAAACUCGGGGAAGAGGCCAGCAACCAAAAACCAGGAACGAGUGACCGAAGACCAGAACGAAACAGAGGCAGAAGACGCAAGAGGAGGAAGAACAACAGGUGACGAACAGAGAGGAGAGGAAUUAAAGGGAGCCGAAAAUCAAAGAAAAAACCCAGAAUAACAGAGAAGCAAACGAAACAGAACCAGAAGAGUAGAGGAAAAGCAGAAACAUAAAGCCUGCCAAUCAUCGUCUUCACCACAGCACCUGAACCAGCAAAACAGAGGAAGAAGGGCAGGGGAAACAGGCCAAGAACCAUAAAAAAUGGAGGACGAACAGUGACAAUAAAAAAAAGAACCACCCGAGAGAACCGGCUUCGUCUUCAUCUUCAGGAGCAGCAGACCACAUGUAAUCUUCCCUUUGCAUUUUAAUUCACUGCUACAAUAGCAGUGAAUUAUAAUUCACUUGCUACUGUAGCAAGUAAAUAAUAAUUCAUUGGCCCAGCUGUAUUCUCAUUGAACAGCUGAGGGUAUGUAGAAAAAAGGAAAGUGUUUUUUUUUCUUUACAUAAGAAAAACAUUUCCCUUUAGCAACGUUAUUAUUUUUAGGUUGACUGGAAUUCAUUUUUCUUUGAUUAUUUUCCCUUUCUUGUCAUCAAACAUAGAAAAAGCAGGAAAGUAAAUUCCAAGAAUUCACUUUACUGCAAUCAAACACGGCCUUGAUCCUCAAUCAAACGGGUCUCAUCUCGAUUUUAUAAAAACUAUCCAAUGAUGUUGAUUCGAGGAUGUUCACAAGCUUUUCGCUGUUGGAAGUUUGCAAGCGAAUCUCGUUUUUACCAUCCAAAAAAACUUCUUUUGUACAUCUUCUCACAUGUCAAGGCACAUUUUGAUUAGGGAGACCGUAUAACUUUAUUUCGUUCAAUUUAUGCUGUUUGACAUAUAAAUAUUGUUCAAUGUAAAUCAACUUUUCAUUGUUUUCAAAAAAAUUUCACCUAGUUUAAAUCGAAACAAAUGCUUGCCAGUAGUUAAUAUUAAUUGAGAUAUGUGUUUGGGAGUGUGAAGUGAAGUGAUUAUAUUUUAUUUAAAAAUAAAAAUAAAAUUUUUUUGACACGCAACCGCCGCGAUUAAGUAAAAAAAAAAAAUAGCGCGAAAAGUGCCAAAGGCCCAAAUGUACGCCAAUUUGCAAUGGCAAGUCCCGUAAUUAUUUCAAAAUCAAAUGUGAAAAAUUGAAAGUCACAAGAAGGCAUGAAAAUAUCCUCUUAUUUGAACUUUUAUCUCGUUUAUAUCCUUUUACUCUUUUCUUCAUGUAUAGACAUGGAAAGUCAUGUUCUGAUUUGUUCCUGUGGAAUCAAAAAAUUUCUUCCUCAAUUUUUUUUAUGGAAUGAAGUGAUUUCCCGGUAGCUUCACCAUCCACUUGCAAUUUAUAUAUAUAUAUAUAUAUAUAUAUAUAUAUAUAACUGCCAAAGAAAAAAAUGCAUUGAUUAAAAUAUUGAUGUGUUUGAAUGAAGAAAGUCAGGGCAGAGAUGACCAACAAAAACCACCGUGUGGGCCAAUAAAAUGAAAAUAAAAGACAAUAUCAAUGGCUUGCAAUAAAACAGUGUUUGUUUUAUGUUAAAUUACUUGAUUAACUAAACUUAAUCUUGUAAUAUUGAAUUAUUUGAUGAAAACAUUAUCUAAAACAUGAUCAAUUGAUAUAUCUAAAGUCAAAUAAAAAGUUUAUACUAUACUUUGCCAUUUUCAUGAUUUUAUCUGCAUAUAUUGUUCAGUUUCCAUGAUUUUAUCUGGGAGGAGUCAAUUUAAGUUAUUUGCAUGCCACUUUCUCAGCAAUUGUUGUCCUAUUUUGUGCUAAAUGUCGGGUGUAUAUUAAAUUAGUCAAAAGUUGCAUAACCCGCUUUCUCCAUUACUGUUCUGUAACAAUAUUUUGAUAGCCCUUUAGCAUUAAUACUAUUUAAUUUGUCCUCUUCAUGCGUUUGAUCGGACAGUGACAAUUAUCUGUAUCAUUGAAUUUUCUAUGCUGAAUUAAUUAUCCAAGGGAGACUUGGGCUUCAUUGAAUGGGAGAAUCUUCACGGACAGUGCUAGCCAGGGGACCGCACCACGGCACAGAUCACUCGGUUUGUGGUGUUGGAUUAGGGUGUUUGGGAGUGUGGUAGCGGUUGCUUUUCAAAUAGCUUUUCGUGCCGAAAAGCAUGCCAAUAAUGUUUUUUUAUUUUUUAAAAAUCAUUUUUGACAUCAGCACAUCAAAACGAUCCAAAAAGUACAAACCGCACUCAAUUUUAACAAAAAUAAAUAAAUAAAAAAUUUUUGAAUUUUUUCAAAAAACCGGUUUGGCCGCAUUGCCAAACAAACCGGUUUGUGGUGUUGGAUUAAAGGAUAUUCCAACUUCUUGUUUACUGCUUUACUUUUCUUCAUAGACUUGGGAAGUCAAGAUUCCUAUAAUCCACAUCAUCAAAAUAAAUUUUAAUUAUUUGAGCGAUUCAUUUGAUAUUAACCCCACAAUUAUUUUAAUUAGUCUGUUAAUGUUUUUCUUCAAGCUUGUGGAGCCGCAUGUUCACCAACUAUUUUGUUUUUUUUUUCUUUGUAUAUUUAAAAAGUCAUUUAAUUUAAGUUUUUAUGGUAAUUUAUUUUUGUGUUUUAAAAGUAUUUUUAAAUAAAUUUAAUUUUUUUUAUUUUUUAUUAACUUCAAAUUAAUAUAGUUUUAGUAUUUUUAAAUUAUUUUGAUGUGCUGAUAUUAAAAAUAAUUUUUAAAAAAUAAAAAAAUAUUAUUAAUAUAUAUUUUAAUAUAAAAAAUUAUUUAAAAAACAACCACAAUUAGAUGUUGUAGUGCUUGUUUUUAUUCUUCGUAGACCUAUGAAGUCAAAAUUCCCAAUUAUCCACUGCAUCAAUCUCUAUCCCAUUAAAAUGAAUUUGGUGCAAGAAAAUGAAUUUUAAUAUUAUUAAUAUAUAUUUUUUAAAAAAUAUAGCGUAUAAAAAAGGAAAUCCUGUAUCAUAUCUUUCACAAAUCUUAAAUAAUUAAUGAGAAAGCAGAACAAGGAUAAAACAACAUUGUUUUUUAUAUAUAAAAAAUAAAUAAUUAAUAGAUUGCAAUUAGGUAUUUAUUCAAGUCAGGCCAACUAUUAACCGAGUCACUUGGAUUUCUCAUUAUGCAUAUUUAAGAUUGCUAAAAAAAAAAAAUUAGUUUAAUUUCACAUAUAAGCUAAUUCGAUAACACUUUUUAAUAUAAAACCAAAAAAAAUGAGUGCUAUCGUCAUCAACUUUAUUUGGUUUAAAUUUAUGACGUUUGACAUAUAAAUUCUAUUCAAUUUAAAUCAACUUUUCAAUAAAUAGUUAAUGUUAAUGAGCACAGUAGCGAGAACUAAGCAGUGUUAUGUGUAUUUGGGACUGUGAAUACUGUACACUUUGGCUCUCUUCAUAGAGUCAAUUGACUUUCACACGUAGGGCAUGUUUGUUUCCCGAAAAACAGUUUUCGGGAAACCAUUUUCCAAACUUUCCUGUGUUUGUUUGUUAUUAGGAAAGUUGGUCAACGGAAAAUACAUUUCGGUCAACGGAAAACACUUUAUAGUCAACGGAAAACACUUUCCAGUCAAAGAAAAAUUUGACUUGGUUUUCAGGAAAGUGUUUUCCCUUUAGCUGUGUUUGUUUUCCGGAAAGUGGUUUCCGGAAAAUCACUUUCCAAUCCGGUCAACGGAAAACACUUUCCAGUCAAAGAAAAAUUUGACUUGGUUUUCAGGAAAGUGUUUUCCCUUUAGUUGUGUUUGUUUUUCGGAAAGUGAUUUCCGGGAAAUCACUUUCCAAACUUUCUUUUGUUUGUUUGCUAGUAGGAAAGUUGUUCAAUGGAAAACACUUUCCAGUAAAAUGAAAGUUUGGCUUGGUUUUCAGGAAAGUUUUUUCCUGAAAAAUUUGAGGGGAAAACACUUUCCGGAAGUUGUGAAAAAUUUAGAAAUAUCAUUAUUUGUUGAUUAUAUCAAAUUUGAUCCUCAAACUUUUGAUUGCUAUAUAUAUAUAUAUAUAUAUAUAUAUUGAGUAUUUAUUUUUCAAUUUCAUCUCUUAAAAUUUUAUUUUUAUAUUAACUUUGGUCUUUAUUUUUAUAUUUGCUUUUUGCUUUUUCCUUAUCAUUUUUUUAUUGAAAUUUUGUAUCUAUCAAAUUUGGUCUUCAUUCUUUUGAUUGUUACUUAUUUUAUUUGAAACAAUUUAUAAAAUGUUGAUUAUUAUUAUUUUAAUUUCUUCAUCUUUUUUUUAAUUUUUUAGAUUUGAUCUCUAUUAUUUUGAUUAUUAUUUAUUUUAUUUGAGAUAAUUUAUGAAAUUAUUUUUUUUUUUCAAUUUCAUUCUCAUUCAACUUUUUAAUUUAUAAGAUUUGUUUCUCAUUAUUUUAAUACACUUGAGAAAAAUAAAAUAUUAAUAAGUUAUUUUCCAGCUCAUUUUCCAUGACAUAACCAAACACUGGAAAGUGUUUUCCAACUCAUUUUCCAUUACACUACCAAACAUCGGAAAAUACUUUCUCGGAAUUCACUUUCCUCAGAAUUCACUUUCCAAAAGGAAACUACUUUCCAGCAAACAAACGGAGCCGUAGUAAAAAUGAAAAACAAAUUACUCCGUGGAUUGGUGAUUAAACUACAAUACUAAAUAUACCCCCUGAUCUGUGGAUUUGUGAUUAAACUUGGAAAAAAACAACAAUACUCUAAAAAGCCAUAUGUGAAUUUGUGAUGAAGAAAAUUCAUUAUUUUUAUUUUUUUUUGACAUAUUAGGUUCCACUAGAUGCACCAAGUCAAUGUGAGUGGUUGUCUUUUUUCUUAUUUAUGAGAAUCCAAUAGAGGCAUCAAGUCUAGGGCUCCACAAUGUCUGCCACUAGUCAAUUUCCUCCAACUUGUUGUGUAAAUUACUUUGUUUUCUCUUCAUAUAUAGACAUGGAAAGUCACGUGAUCUAAUGGAAUACAAAAAUUUCUUCCUCAACUCUUUUCAUGGAAUGAAGUGAUUUCCCGGUAGCUUCAUCAUCCACUUGCACUUUUUUUUCUCCGUAGACUUGUGAAGUCGGUCAAGAUUCCCAAUAUAUUAUCAACAUCAUCAAUUUAAAAAAGAAAUAUAUGUUAGGCUGAUUUACUUUCAUAUUAAUUAUUGUUUGAAUAUUCUUCAUCUGAAUGAUAUUAGUCCAUUCAAAACAAAUUCAUUUUCUUUUUUAUAAAUAUAUUUAUAUAACUACCAAAGAAGAAAAUGCAUUGAUUAAAAUAUUAUUGAUGUGUUUGAAUGAAGAAAGUUAGGGCAGCGAUGACCAACAUAAACACCGUGUGAGCCAAUAAAAUUGAAAACAAAAGACAAUAUCAAUGGAUUGCAAAAAAAAAAAAGUUUUAUGUUAAAUUUAUCUAUAUGUUAAAUUACUUGAUUAACUAAACUUAAUCAUUUAAUAUUGAAUUACUUGAUGAAAACAUUACCUAAAAUAUAAUUAAUUGACAUAUUUAAAGUCAAAUAAAAAACAAACCCCGCUUAUUUUUAAUAUUAAAUAUUAUUUUUUAAUAUAAAUUCUUCAACAUGAAAAAUUAACAAAAUUUAAAUAAAUUGUGAUUACUGUUUGAGCGAUUGAUUUGAUCUUGGACCCAUAAUUAUUUUCGUUAGUCUGUUAAUGUUUUUCUUCAAGCUUGUGAAAUUGUUACCCAUGUAAAUGCUAUGUUUCUCUUUAGAUUUUUUCCUACCCUUGAAACUGUUAUGAACAUAAGUAAAAGAGAUGAAAACUCCUUUACCCACGUAUCGAGUGUCGCACGUGUACGACAGCGCGACGAAUCGUCCACCCUCAAAUGAAAAAAAAUCGGAAUAUUUAUUCCUGGAAAAUAGUCAGAGACAAGGAAUUCUUGUCUCUACAAGUAAAAAUAUGGACUGGGAGACUGGUUACUAGGAACUUUAACUGGUCUUUAGAGAUCGGGUACGGAGACUGGUUACGUAAAAGAAAGGUAUAAGCACCCCAAUUACACCCUACCUAAGGUAGGCUGCAUUGUUUUAAUGUCUGAUAACAUCUAAGGUCGUGUUUGUGGAUUUUAAUAUUAUUGUUCGGAAUACGCAUUACAUGUAAUGUCAUAUCCCAAGUUCUAUUAAAAAAAAAUUAAAUAUCCGGAAUAUGUAUUGUGUAUAAUGUAUAAUGUCAUACCCCGGAUAUUAAAAGAUAAACAAAAUAAAAUUUUUGUUGUUUUUUUGAAAUUUUGGCCAAUAUUCUCUUGACUUUAAUAAACUGGUUAUUAAAGCCAAAAUGCAUGCUAAAACAUUGUUUUUCUCUUUUUUUUAAUUUGUUUUUGUAUUCUUGAAAGUCGAAAACCGGGUAUUUCAGUACCAGAUUUGUAUUUUACGACAUAAAAAUAUUGCCCGAUAUUAAUCAAAAUGACAUAAAAACUACGCGGAAAAAUUAUAAAAUGCUGAAACAAAUAUUUUUGAUUUUUUUUUGAAUGGGCCGGGUGAACAGUAUCGUGUGAACAGUAAUGAAUACGGGGUAUUUUAAUACCAGAUUUAUAUUUUUACGAUGUAAAAUACAGACGAUAUUAAGCAAAAUGAUAGAAGAAAACGUGCUUUUUUAAAAAUAUGUAUAUAUAUAUAUAUAUAUAUAUAACUUAUAACAAAAAAAUAAAAAUAAAUAAAUAAAUAACUGGCCGGACCCGACCCAAAUGCAUGGGCCGGGCCGACCAAGCCUAUUUACAUGGGCUGGGCCAAAGGCCCAAACGGGCUGGUUACUGUGCAUCAGCACAGUAACCAGCCCUUCCUUAUUUGCAGAACGUGAAAUAAUUCACGUUCUGCAUGAAGGCACAGCGGAUAACAAAGGGAGGCAGAGGCGGGGCAACAGGAUGGCGUACCUGCGGUGGCGUCGAGGCGGUGCGGCUGGCGGCGGAGGCACGGUGGCCGGCGGAGGCACGGUAGCCGGCGGUUUUCCUUCUCUCUCUCUCCUCUGUUUUUGUUCUCUUCUCUGCCGAUUCUCUUUCUUCUUCUUUUUUCUUUUUCUUUCUGUUUCUCUCGUCUCUCUCUACCCUCUUUCUGUCGUGCAAUCCUUCUCCUUCUCCCCCUCUUUUUUUUUCUUCUCUGCUUCGGUCCCCUUCCACUGUUUUUAUAGGAAAAAAUAGGGGGGCCGAAUGGUGGGGCGGCUUGGCCGCCCCUCCACUAUCCGUUCAAAAGGAGGCAAGUGGGGGUCGAAUGGUAGGCGUCUUAUUGCGCCAAAUCCGGGAAAGAAGUUCGGCGAAAAGUGGAGAAGAAAAAAACUCUUCUCCCUUGUUCUCUGCGUGCGCAGGGAAGAAGACGAUGGUGUCGUUUCAAAACAGCACCGUUUUACGUUUUCUCUCUCUUUUUUUUUUAAAAUAAACAGUGCAUGAAACGACGUCGUUUUGGUCAAAACACGCCGUUUCAUUUAAAAGGAAAAGGCGGUAAAACACGUCAGAUUCAAAUUUAGUCCAUCAAUUUGCGCGCGUUUUACGAUUUCGUCCUUGGUCUCGGAUUUCUGAAAUUAAGUCCUUAAUUGACCAUUAAACUUCAUUCUUUAUGCAAUUAAGCCCCUGAUUUGACCAAAUUAACUUUCAAAAAUUAUAAGUUGACACCAGAACUUUAAUUUCUUCCAAUUCAAGCCCAAAAUAACUCCAAAAUCAAUUGUUUUUGCAAUUAAAACCUCUAUAAAUUCAAUUAAACCUUCAAUAAAAUUUAAUUGAGUCCAUAAACUUCUAAUUUUGCAUUUUUCUUCCUCAAAUUGAAUUUUCUUUAUCAUCGAGGCUCUCAUCAGUCAAUGAUAUACUGUCAGAAAUGAAAUUUUAUUUGUUUGAACAUCCUCAAUCAAUUUUUGAGCAUUUUUAGGGCACUCUGACAUUUUUUUUUUACUGUUAUAUUUUUUGAUAAUAUAUUUUUUUGAAUUGUUUUGUAUUUUUUAGGUGAGGACUCAAAAAUGGGUUACAACAUCGAGCAUACCCUAGUUACAUAACACUAGUUAAAUCUUGACAUAACAGUUCAAGUUAAUUAAUGGCUAGGAUUUUGUUUAGUGGAUUUGUUUUUUGAAAUUAAAUAUCAUAUCAAUAAACAAAUAGCAACUAAAAAUGUAACUAAAAAUAGCAAUAUUUGUUUAAAUAUCAUAUCAAUAAACAAAUGUAACUAAAAAUGUAACUACUAAAAUAGAUAUUUUAUUUUGUUAAUUUUAUUUGAAAAAGCUUUUGAACAUAAGGACUCCAUAUUUUUUUUUUUAUGAUUACUAUAUUGGAUAGGCUUAAUGCCCCGGUAAUAACCAGGAUAGGAGGCCGACUUAAUUAGAGUUGAUAGGGCACAAAUAUAUAUAUAAUGUGCUCCGAUUAAUACAAAAUUAAUUAUAAUAAUAAUUAGGGUUUGUUCUUUUAUUCAGUUUCUUGUUAUCUAUUUUUGGGUUCUCUCACAAAAAAAAUUGCAAGAAAACAAAAAAUAUGAACAAUUGAUUUGAUCUUAUGAAAUACAUGGCAGAAGAGAUUAGAAAAUGAUUUCCAUUUGUCAGAAAUACACCCCAAUAGUCUUAAUUUGAAUUGCACUUUGCACUCCUUUUCCAGCGAUCAAUAGCUAGGAAACCUGUCAGUGAAAUCUUUAUUAUUUGCUCCGGGUUGCUGCUGCUGGUUACUCUGUCACGGAUUAUUAUUUUUCAGUAGUCAGUUAUCCUAGUGCUUGCUUGGACAUGCUCAACAAUGGAGUUCCUCUAAAUGUAAUUACCAAAGUGAAAUCUUCUGUCAAAGUCAUUUCAAGCCGGAAAAGAUCAGGAAAAAGAAGUCUUGAAACAUCAAGCGAAUAGAGCCCAGCAGGAAAAAUUCGUUUCUGACGGUGAGAUUUGUAAUGUGAUCCUAGAUACAAUCUCAUCUCGAUUAGACUCCAGUACUGGAGGAUGUGAUUGCUGAUAUAAAAAAUAAAUAAAUAAAAACACUUAUAUGUUAUUUCUCAGUUCAAAUCUGGUGAUGAGAUUCAUACAGAAGGACUCGUGGCACGGCUGAAGCAGAUCCAAGGUCAAUACUUGAGGAAAAUCUUGGAACCAUUCCAGCUACUAUUAUUUUUUCCAACUAUUAGAUCUUAACAUCAACAGUCAAUAUCGUUGAAAAAAUCAACAUUGAAGCCAUACAAAUUCACGUAAGGGACACACAAACCCCACAAGAAAGAAAGGAAAAGGGCCUCACAAGAAGUAAAUAAAAUCUCACAAUGAGUAAGAAAACCAAACAUAUUGUAGAAUAAAAGUAAGGCAUUGGAUUGAUCGUUCAUUAGCCGUUCAUGAUCAUGAAUCAAAUCAUUACAUAAAUCAUCACCCACGCAAGUAAAAUAAAAAUCAAGGCUUUGGAGAUUGCUUAACCUUUCCAACAGCGUUGCUGUUUCGAUCGGUAGGCUUGAUACUUUUAGUUUUAUCUAUGUUAACACUAUAGGUAAUUAAGAGUUUAUUUGGUAAUGUGGUUACGGUUAUUUUUUAAAUAAUUUUUUGUAUUAAAAUACAUGUCAAUGAUAUUUUGACAUCAGCACAUCAAAAUAAUUUGAAAACACGAAAAACAUAUUAAUUUAAAGUUAAUAAAAAAUUAAAAAAAUUCAAUGAUAUUUUGAUAUUAGCACAUCAAAAUGAUUUGAAAACACGAAAAACAUAUUAAUUUGAAGUUAAUAAAAAUUUAAAAAAAUUUAAAUUUUUAAAAAUAUUUUUAAAAUAUAAAAAGAAACAGGCUCAACCGCGGAAAGUCUUGCAAAACAAAGCAUGUAUAGGGAGGGUGGCAGACACGUAGCUUCGCUGUGAUUUCUUGACAUUAUAUUUUUUAUUGAUUUGUUUUUUUGUAUUUUAUUAUUUUUUAUGCGGACACCCAAAAAUGAGUUACAACAUUAUUUGAGAAUAGACAAAAAAAAAUUUUUAAUUCAGUUAUAGGAUGAUGAAUUCUCUCUUGGUCAUUCAAAUAUCUUCAUAUAGUUUACAUUAUACCUAAUAUUUACUUAUUUUUUACCAUUGAUUAGAAUAAUAUGUAAUCAGGAUCAAAACAUAACACUCCCUAAAUAAAAUAACUUGGUGAUCUCAAGUCCUUUAAUCUUUGGUGCUUCCCUGAAGGUAGAGUUUCAUCUAUGGCUUUUAAUCUUGAAUAAAUUGCCUAAAAAAAAAAAGACUAAAACUGUGAAUUAUAUUUUACUUUAUCAUAAGAUGGUUUAGAAGUUAUGAUAUCGGGUGACAAAAUAGUUGGGACAAUAGUUGAUCUUGCCUCAAUCUUUGGAUGACGUCUUCUUAUUAUGGAAUGGCAUGGUAUAGGGAUUUAUGACAAAAAAAAAGUGGUGUUUAUUCUUCUCUGGUAUAGUUUAGUCUAUUUAGAAUACCUGUAAUAAUAUAAUUUUUAAUGAGAAAGAAACAAAUUAGAAUGGGAUAUAUUAUUUCUUUUUUAAUUGGGCUGUUAUUUGAGCGAAAUAUAAAGAUUUAGAGCUUUUUCUAUACUAGGUUAGAUUUAAUUUGUUCAUCAAAUUAUUUUUUUAUAUGGACUAAAAAUAUAAAUAUGAGAAUUGAUUCUCCAAUAUUAACGCAUCUUCAAAUGACAAAACAGGGUCUUUAAGAAUUGGUGGUGUUUUUAGUGAUAAUGAAGGAAGAUUCCUUUGUAUUUUUUUCUUGUUCAACAGGUAAUAUAGAAUCUAUUGAAAUUGAGGUCUUGUUAAUUUGAAAAGCUAUGAUUGCUACUAUGUUAUUAAUUGAUGAGUUAGAUUCUUACGAUGUCGUUACACGUCAUAAUUAAAGCAUAAAAUGUCGUGCACGCCGAUGCUUGACUUGCGGUUUUCCAUUUUGAUUUUUAAAUACCAGAAAACAGUAAUUUCCUUAUAGAAACUGGUGGUCUCCUCACGACAUUUUUUUCAAAUAACUGUUGUCAGAAAAUGACUAUCCUCAUUAACAGUAAUUUAUUAAUUUUUUUUAAUAUACUUUGUUCAUGUGAGGUUGUGUUUUCAAAAUCUUCCAAGAAAAAAAGGGACUAAAUGAUGAACCAAAUUGAAUUUCACGCUCCUAAUUUAAUAAAUUAAAAUUUUCAAGCUCUAAAGUUAUAUCCUUAGCACCAUACUCUAUUAAGGAAAAGCUCUAAUAUUUUUAUCAAAAGUUUAUAAUUUAAUAAUCCAAUCUUAAAACAAUACUUUAAUUGUUGAUAUAAAAAUUUAAAACUGAUCUAAUCAAAAGAGUUCAAAACUAAAUGGAAAAAAUAAUUAAAAUAUAAAACUAACUAGAAAAGUAAUUAAAAUAACAAAAAUAAAAUCUUUUGAGCUUAAUUUGAAAAGAUUUGUGUGGUGGAUGUUCAAACAUAUAGUUUUGAAACCCGAUCCGGUGAUCGACCCGGUUUAAUGAUCGGGUCACGGGUCCAAUGGGUUGACCCGGGUUAAUCCAGGUCAACCUAAAAAAAAAAAAAAAAAACUAAUUAAAGGGCAUUUUAUGAAUCAGGGGCAGGGCCGGGCGGUUAAAGAGGAAGAGCUUAUAUAGGCUCCAUUGCUAAAUUAACCUAAUGAGGUGAAAUUUAUCUUCCCCUCCAAUUUGAAAAUAUUUUGAUUGAGUUCAGGGCACAGAGCCCUAGACAAUGAAAAUUAGUAUUCCCCUCCUAUUCAACUUGAGAAGAAUCUUGUCCUCACCUAAAGCAUCUCCUACAUUCCAAAGGCUAGAAGUCUGCUUUCUUCGUAUUUGAGCAUCUUUGCCUCUUUUACUCUGAAUAGAGAAGGAGCUGCUCUAGAAUGCCCUCUUUUGAGGUGCAGAUGAGGUGGAGGAAUCGGUUGUGCACAGUUCCUACUGGGAGGUAUAGUAAAGAAGGUAUAAUCAAUUGGUUUUUCAAACUGUAGCAUAGACACUUGUUUGCCACAGUGGGGGUAGGUACUUUUAGUAAUGAUGAAGAUGAAGAUUUCAGAUGAGGAUUUGGAGAGGCCAUUGGCCAUUUCAGAUGAAGAUUUCAGCCGGGUUUCAGCUGGGUUUACCCGGGUCAACCAGGUUUCGGGUCGACCCGCCGGGUCUACGGGGUUUCACCGGGCCAACUCCCAAGCUAGUUUUUUCUUAGACCCAGACCGGUCCUAGGCCAGGUCGGCUGGGUCCCGGGUCGACCCGUUGGGCCGGUCCGGGUUUCAAAGUGUUUUUCGUUGACUAGAAAGUAUUUUCCGUUAACUAACUUUUCUAAUGAUAAACAAAUACAGGAAAGUUUGAAAAAUGGUUUCCCAGAAAUUAGUUUCCGGGAAACAAACAUGGCCUUAGUAGACCUAGGAAGUCAAGUUUUCUAAUUAUCCACGUCAUCAAUCUCGAUCCCAUCAAAAAUUAAUUUGGUCGAAGAAAGAAAAAAAAAAUUAUCAAUUAUUUUCAAGCUUGUGGAACGGGUGUUCCUCCAUUUUCUUGUUUAACUGUUUUCUUUGCAGACUUGGGAAGUCAUAUGUUAUGAACAAUUGAUUUGAUCUUGUAAAAUUUAUGGCAGAAGAGAUUAGAAAAUGACUUCUUCUUUCAAUAAUCUUCUUCUUUGUGAAAUGAUUUCCCGAUACAGCUCUUAAUUUCAACACCUGCUUGCUCUUCUUUUCUUAGUAGACCUGGGAAGUCAAGAUUCCUAAAUAUCCACAUCAUCAACCUCGACCCCAUCAACAAUAGUGCCCACCAGGAAAAAUUAGUUUCUGACGGUGAGAUUUGUAUAGCUAGUAAACAUGCUCAACCAAUAAUCAUAAAUGAUGCCAAAAUUGUAGUCAAAGAGACUUGGAACUCCCUGAUGAUGGUCUCUAGCUCUGGAGGUUUAUUCUGCCAAAAUUGCAUGGGCCGUUUUACAGCCUUCGUAAUGGGCUUGGCUACUUUGGGUAAUUAAAAAAACCCAAAUCGAUAAUGUUUUUUUUUUCCUUCGGUAUCCGUUUAAUCAAUCUUCUGGUUUGAUCCUUGAUAGUGCUGUGUUUUGAUGCUUGUCGAUUAGCCACAAUAAUGUUAAAUUUACAAGGACAGGUCCAAGAAAAGCAAUGCAGGCCUGUAUUGGUCUCUGGGAGUCCGCUGAUAAAGGCUGCAAUCAUUGCUUGAACCCUUGUAAAGGGGCCUUUACACAUGAGGUCCACUGAAGAAGUACAACACCGUUUUUUAUUUAAUUCUUAUGGUUUAAAUCUACUAAUAACUUAGUCAUUUUGCAUGCUAUUUUCCACUUGUUUUGUAAAAUAGAGAAAAGAACAAAGUAAAUCUUUUUUUUUAGUUUAUGGCAUGUUCUCAAAAGUUUUAUUGAUAUUAAUUAAAUAACAAAGACAUUGAUGUAGCUGAAAAUUGAGAACGAGAGGGAUGAUCAGGAAUGGAUUAAGCAAAUUGGGCUUGAAAAAGACCCAACAGCAGAGAAAAAUCUGAAAUAAACUCUUGAUGUUCAAAAUAGCCCACAAGCAAGGCUUAAAUAGUUAGGGCUGAGAAAAUUACCAAAAUAGGUAAAUACUGAUUAUUCAAUAAAUAUAGAAACUUCCUGGAAUAAGUUUGAUAUCCUUUAAUUUUUUUACCGUCUUAGAACAGUUUAUCCUGUUCGAUUCCGCUUUGCUUCGACCGACCACAAUGAUCCCAUAUCCAUCUAUACAAAAAUCGAUUAAGCUGUCCGUUGACACAUUAACUUCUCUGGCUCCAUUCCAUCCUGGAUUAGCAAUCUUUCCCGGAUCAUUUAUGCCCGUUAGAACUGUUAAGCAUGUUGGAUAUUUUGCAUAAUAAGCUCUCGGGUCCUUUAUCCUCUUGUUUGUCCAAUUUAACUUUCAUGGCAAACGAUGCAAAAUGCUAUCUAUCUUUUUUUUGUUUUUUAACUCUGGGUGUCCGGGUCAGUUUACGCGCACCACAACUAAUCUCAGGACCUACUGAACAUCCUGCAAGCUCAGUAGGCAAAUAAAGUACCGCCGGGGUGACAGACUGGUGCACAGCGAGGAUCGAACUCGGGCAAUUGACCACUGAGUUAAACCCUCAAGUGUCAGCCCUACAACUUGGCCUAGUAUUCAAUAUUUUGAUAAGUCAAAUCUUGUACUCAGAGGCGCAACUAAGGGGUGGCAAGUAGGGUCGGGCCCUGCAACCACCCCUACAAAAUAUUUUAGAAUUUAUUUUUAUUUCGUUAGUUAUUUAUAAAUUUAAAAUUGCCUCUUCGUAUAAGUUGGAAAAAAUAAAAGAUAAAUAAUUUUUUCAAUUUAAUUACUUUUCUUUAUUGUUUUUUUAUUUCCAUUCUCUAAAAUCCUAACCAAAAAAAUAUAAUAAUACAAAGCAAAAAGAAAAAGUUAAAACAAAGUUAUCAAUUAAUUCAUUGUUCAUUGAAACAAGAUAAUUAAUGACCCAAAUUUAAAAUCUUUUGUUUUUUUUGUUUGUUAAGAAUUUGCUUAGAUGUAUAUAUAUAUAAUUAUGCUUCUUUUUUUUAUAGAUCUACUAGGUUUAUCAUUUUUUUAUUUCUUGCUAUAGUGAAUGUUGUUUUUUUGUAAUGAAUUGGAUAUAUUUUAUGGGUUUAUUUUGAUUAUACAUAUAUAUUUUUUUGUUUUGUUUUUAGCAGAAUCGUUAAAAUUAUCAAUUUUUUUCUCACAUAUACCUUACUAUCACCAGAUCCAAUAUAUAAUUAGACACGAUUUUUCUAGCCAAAUUAAGUUCUUUGAAAAACACAUGCCUAGUUUUAAUUCAAUUUAAGUUUUCUUUUUUAGAAAUCAAUAAUUUCAUUUUUUAUGUUAGAUUUGUUUUUAUAUAUCUUUUUUUUUAAUAUGUUGAUUUUGCUUUUAUAAGCCAAUAUGGUUUACAUGUAACAAAUUAUAUUUUAUUAUAUUAGUUUUGACCCUUCCUGUUAAAUAAUCUCAGCUACGCCCCUGCUUGUACUGAUGGGUUUGCCUCAAGUAGGCUAUUCUUAUCGUGAAAAUAAGUUCACAAACAACAUUGCAGAUUAAUCUGUCGAGUUCUCAACAAAAAGACAGUCUUACUCCUAUCGAGAUGAUCUUCUUCCUUUCAUGUCUGGUAUUGAUUUUUCUUACAACGGAUUCACUGGCAAAAUCCAACCAAAUUUUGAAAUUGUAAGUGAGCUACGAGCGGUAAAUCUAUCACACAUUAAUCUCAUUGGAUCCAUCCCCGCAACUCUUUAGAACCUGAAGCAGAUUGAGAGUUUGGAUCUUUCUCACAGCAAAUUGACCGGUACGGUACCAUCCCUUCGCAGCUAUUGAGGUGAGCACAUUGGAGGUUUUCAGUGUUGCAUACAAUAACUUGUCCGGUAAAACUCCAGAGAGGAAAGCUCAGUUCGGAACCUUUGAUGAAAGUAGUUAUGAGGGAAAUCCUCUUCUUUGUGGACCUCCAUUGCGAAUUUGCAGUGAAACAAACUCGUAAUUGCGCAGCCUGUACCUAAUAAUGAACAAGAAGAUAAUAAUGGUUUCGUAGACAUGGAUGCUUUCAUUGUGAGCUUUGAGGCAUGUUACAUAAUUGUGUUGUUGGCAAUUGCAGCAGCUCUUUACGUAAAUCCUUACUGGAGAAGAAGAUGGUUUUACUUCAUUGGAGAGUGCUUAAGCAAUUGCUACUGUUUUCUAGUGGUUAAUUUCCGUAAGCUGUCCAACAUCAUGUCAUCGGACCUCUGUAUAAUCAUUCAAUUAGAUGACACAUUUAAAAAUUUUAAAAACUAAUAAUACUAUAACUAUGAAGAACACCUAAAAUAUUUAAUUUUAUUCUUCCAAGUCUCUGCUAAACUAAUGAUACACAAUUGUGGUACUAGCAAUUGCGGGAGUUUUGUACAUAAACCCAUAUUGGCGACAUAGGUGGUUUUACUUCAUUGAAGAGUGCAUGGAGACUUGCUACUUUGAAUUGCAUACAUUUCAUAAGCUAUCCUCCUUCAUAAGGCCAUAGGGUCUGAUGCGUGCCUUUUGUUUUUUCAUAUUUUUUAGUUUGAACUAAUAAAACCUUUACUUUUUUUCAAGCUUCAGUUCAUUUUAUUGCAGUUUCUCAAAUGAAUUCUACAAAUUCAAGAUAUAUAUGCAUCCUUAAUGCCAUAUUAAAAAGAAUAUAUAGAUAGAAGAAGAGGAGCUUUACGUGAUAUGGAUAGCGUGAUGCUCCUAAGCCUAGAACCAGCUAAAACUUAAUAUUAUGAUGAAUAAUUCAGCAAAACUUAAUUCAAUUUCAACUUCCAAUCUCAUCAUUAGUACAAAAUGCAGAGUCAGAUUGAAAGGAAAUUGAUUGGAACUUGAAAUUCAGGUAACAAUACUUCUAGCAGAGCUUCCUCCUUAGCCUCUCCCUAUUGUAUCUUCUUCGAGUGGAACUCUUAGCUUUUUGCCCUCCAAGAUAUAUGUUCUCAUCUUUCUCAAGUACUCUCUUUUCCAUCCAGCAUAAGCAAUCACAACUUACCUCAACGGAAAACUUUAUAGCCAACUUCAAGUCUUCAACCAAUAUUUAAAAGGAAUUUUGUCCUUUGUUUGAUAAGCAAAAUCAACAGAACCUGUCGUUGACUUUCUAGCUCAUAUAUAGCAGUAGCCAUUUUAAGGAGCAGAAACAAACACUGUAGAGAUUUAUCAUCACGAAAAUCUAGUUGAAGCCAACUACAUCAAAACUCCACAGCCAAUGUAUUAAUCUAGUUCUGUAAGCCUACACCUUUGGCAUUUUUAUAUAAACUUAUAUCCUAGCUUAAUAACAAGUAUUUUAGUUACUGGAAAAUAAAUAGAUAAGAUAAUCCUAACUUAAUCUAAAUUAAAUAGUUAACACAAUAACACAAAUCAAAACUCAGGAAACAAGAAACAAGUGUGAAUUGAGUUAAAACAAAUAUGAAAUCAAAUAGAGGAUGGAAAGUUUAUUUUUAGAUCAAGAAUAGCAUGUAUUAAAAAGAUAAUAAAUAAAAUUAGAGUAAUAACAUUGCUACAACUUAUCAUUAAAUUUCAUUUGCAAUUUCCUCUCAAUUUUCUGUAGUUUUGUAGAGACAAAGAUUAGUUGGUCCUUACGGGAAUUUUUCUUCCUUAAUUUCACUCCCAUUUUCCAAACGAUGGAAUUCAUACAACCUUUCGAUUUUAUUUCCACGUAAAAUCCAUUCUUCUGUAUCAAACAGAACAUAAUAAUGGGCCAUAUUUUAAUUUAAAUAUCUUUUUCCUAAUAUUUAAAGCCUUUUUGCUGGGAAAAUGGGGAUUUGAGAGAAAAGACAAUAGAUAAGAAAGGACAUAAAAAAAAGUGAGAGAAAAUGAUGGUGGGUCUUCAUUCUUCAAGGACCGUAUUGGAACUCCUUGGAGGCAUGCGUGAGAGGUGAAAUGGAAAAGUAUAGGGAUCAAAGUGUAAUUUCAAUGAAUAUAUAGGGCUUAAAAUACAAUUUACCCUUAAUUUUUCAUGGAUGACGCAGUCACAAGGGGAGGAUAGAGGUCAUUUCUGAAAUGAUAAGACAGGCAGUGACAAUAAGUAAAAUUUUGUAAAUCAUCAUCAAUAAGAAAUCAUGACGUGGGGACAGAUCAGACGGUUGAUAGUGACUCUUUUUACCCGCUCUCUUUCUCUCCGUGGGGGGUUUUAGGACAGUAUCGCGCGAGAUGCGCGGGUGCCGUGUUCUUACAUUUCCAAGGUGCAUAGUGGGAUCCAUGUCUUUAUCCAACCAAUUAAAAUCUUGUACUCCUUGGGACCCACUCGGUUUCUAGUUUUUUCUUUUUAAAAAAACAAAUUCAUAAAAGCCCUCAACCUUCGAGGCUCCUCUCAAGCUAGUCUCAUCUCUAUCAUAGCAAUAUUAGAAUUUUUAUUCAUUUUUAGUUAACAGAAAAUUUAAGUAAUCACUUGAAAUUUAUAUGGUUUUUUUUAUAUCACUUGAAAUUUAUAUGGUUUUUUUUAUAUCACUUGAAAUUUAAGUAAUCACUUGAAAAAAUUCUCAUUUUAAAUCGCUUGAAACUAAUUUUAUAAAGAAACACAACCAUCUUACAUUUUUAUAAUUUAUAUAAUUUGUUUAAUUACAUUAAAAAAUGAUAUAAUAAGAUGAAGAGAAAUCACAUAAAUGUUUGAUUUUAUAGCCCUUUAAAACAAACUCAUCAAAAUAUUUAAUCCAAAUUAUAGACUCUAAUAUGAAUAAAUAGAACUGGGCUAACUAAAAAAAAGCAUGUUCAUGUAAAAUGACUAGUCUGACUAAAAAAAUCUAAAUUUCAUUUCGACCUUUAAAUCAUUUUUAAAUUUAAACAAGAGAUUCUAGGUCUCAAUUCUAUAAAAAGGUGGCCUCGGCUUGAUGUUUGAGUCAAUUUCAUUCUAGUCUGCAUGGCAAUGGUCCCACUCAAUCGCAGUAUCCACAUGAGCAGAGUCUAAUGAACUACUCAACAUGCAUUUGGUUCUGGUAAUUCAAUUAUGCGAAGGGUGUAGGUUCGAAUUCUUCGACUUAAACGAACAUGUUUGCGUAAUUAAGUGUUCAAUCACGUACUUCGCUAUUGAAAACAUUUAGAAUUUAUCAACAAUUCAAUUAAGCAGGUAUAUACAGACUUCCAACAUCUGUAGAUAUCAUUGAAUCAUUAGUGAACACUGAGUAGACCGAGAUCCAGAUCAAAAUGUGUCACUUAAGCUCUUAAUAUUACAGAAAACUUACAAUUGCCCUGAUGGUUAGCACAAAAGACCGGCUUGGAGUUCAGACUAGCCAAAUUGCCCAACUCUUUAAGCCUGAAUUUUAUCACCAUCAUAAAAUGGGGAAAUUAGUUUAGAUAUACAAGGCGAAAUGGAAUUAAUUACCUCACAUUUUGAACUUCAGAUUGGUAAUGCAUGACCACUUGCAGGUCCUCCUAGUGUUAGAACCACACCUUGAAGAUCACUUCUUGGAUUUGAUUCUUUGGCUAAUGAUGGAGCAGCUCUGAUUACCGGAUAUGUUCUGGUCACUUGAGUUUGUCGAGAACUAUGACUGGAUUCUUGUCCUGAGAAUGUUGUUGGAUGAUGAGAAGGCUUCAAGGUAUCAGUAUGAUUGGAGUUUGGAAAUUGAUGAACAAUGGGGAUUUGAGUUGCUGGUGAUGCAUGAUUUUGAGCUAGAAUUGCCCCUCUCGAUACGAAACCAGGUGCCUGAUAGAUAAAAUUAGGUUUCAAUUCGAGUUCGAAAUAUACUGCAACUGAGGAAGUAAUGAGGAGCUUACAGGUGAAAACAAGACCCCUCUGAAAAUCUUCCCAUUAACAGUUGCAGUCAUUAAAAGGCCUGAGUCGAAGGCUCCGUCAACUUUACCUCGAACUUCAGCACCAACCUAUGGAGAAAGAGAAGAAAGUGAAAAGCAUGUAUUAGCAGAACAGGAAGAAAAACAAAGACAGGAAAAAUUGUAAUCGACAAUGUUUUGCAUUGCAUAUAUCAACUUAAUGAUUUACCAGGUUUUGAAUACACCCUGGCUCCAUGGGUUUAUGUUCCACUGCUGGGAAUGGUGUUCCUUGCCUGCCCAACCCUGCAUGAACAUAUUGCUCUACUCUUUUAUUCUCUCUUGAAAUUUGGAGCCUUUGCCGGGUUUUUUGGAUCACAAGUCUAGGUAGUUUCUGAUUACUUGCAACACUAUCAGCCUGGUAAUUUCUUGGAAUUUUGUUUAACUGCCUAAAGAAAUUAAGUCCUUUGCAAGAUGUGAGGGAAUCAACUGAUUUCUGAACCGGUAUCUGUUCUUGGUCGGACUGAGACGGAGAUGAAUGGUGAGAGGGUGAAAGAGAAUGCUCUUCUUGUUCUAAAUCAAUCUCCCAUGCUUUUGAAUUUGUAGGUCUUAUCUUCUUAUGAUGCAGAGUAUCUGAAAGGAACGUUGUAGGUUUUUGUUAUUAAUACUACCUGAACUGAACUGAAAAGGUUGCUUUGAUUCUUCUGAUUCAUAUGAGCCCUUCAUGUCUAUUUCAUUGUUUCCCAGAAACAUUGACUGCUUCACAGAACAAAAUUAAUAACCCUCCCAACUUGAACAGGCAUAUUUAACAGGAGGUCAAGUGUUUGCAUUUUGAGAGUAAAUAGUUUAGUUACCGAAAUAUCUUCUGCUCCUGGGAGAAAUCUCUUUUCUUGAUUCCAAUGUUGUCCAAAGAUCUUGCACAUGGGAAUGUUGUAUCGACCAUUGGGAUGUUCUGCUCCAAGUUGCAAGACCAACAACUGAUUGAGAGGACGCUCAUCCUCUCUGCACCUGCACAUACAUACACACACACAUACAUACAUAUAGAAUUGAAUUAGGAGAUACAUGAAGAUUAUGGGAGGCAGUGUUGAGAACAGAAGCUGCAGAUGCGAAACAAAAACUUUCAGUUACCCUCCAUAGAUGACAAUAUCUGAGUCGGUGACAACCGCAGUGUGAGAAAACCUCCCUUGAGGUUGCUGGCCAGAUAUAUCAAGUUGAAUCCAUGAACAAGUACUCACAUCAAGCACCCAAACAUCAUUGUAGUAAUGUUUGUCCCCAACACCUCCAAUGACAUAAAGCUGCAGACCAUGGAAAGCACAUUAAAUCUCUUUCCAAAAGCCAACAAUUGAUAAAGGAGCAUCGAAGAAUCAAAGCCUUCAAGCAAAAACAGGUGAGCAUCAAUAGCACAGACAACAGAAUAGGGUAUAACAUUCCGAAGAAAAACUAGUCUAAUUUUCAAAUCUAUUUCAGUGCCAUGACUUGCCUUUGUUCCAAUAUAUAUAUAUAUUAGAGAUUGGUUGGUUAUUUAAAUUAAUUAUUGAUAUCCAUCAUUUUUUUAAUUCAAAGUUUUCUCUAUAGUUUAGGAAGAACGAGAAAUUUUAGAGAUUGAGAAACCCUAUAUUUUAUCCUUUGUUAAAUGUGGCAUCAAGUUAGGAGUAAGCCUUCUAGUUUAAUAGAUCAUAGAUAUAACACAAAUAUCUAUGUUCAUGUUAAAUAUUAAUGAACAAUGUUAUUUGGAUUUCUGUACUCUUAUAAUUGUUCAUUUGUAGAAUUGAUGGAGGUUCUUCAAUAGUUCUUCCAUGGAAUAGUUUAAAGAUCAGAUUUUAAUUACCUUCAGCAGGUAUGGUGCUAUGGAAGUCGACUCCGGUUAAGGAUAGGACUUUAAGAGUAGACAAGGGUCUCAUUUUCCUAAGAAAGCUUGCUGGGAGAGAAGAAUAAUCGAGGAACACUUCUUCCAGGCUAGACGAAUUACACAACCCUGUAGAACAGAUAAAAUAAAUCCAUUAAUAUAUUAUAAAUAUCAUAUUGUUUUAGGCACCAAAACUGUCACUGACCUUUCCCAAAGUGUUUAAAUUUACUACCACUUGCUUGUAAGGUCUUGAGGGAUGGCAACGCUCCCAAUGACUCUAUCAAAAUGCUUUCCUUGAAGUCAAUCAUUUCCAGAUACAAGAUUUCUAAAUUCCUUAAACCUGUGAUAUAGAGAACAAUCAAUAAUAAUUAUUUACAAUAAUUAAAUAAUUUUUAAUGUUAGAGUUAAUAUAUACAAGACAUAGCUUAAGUUAUUAAAUUAAAAUAAUUUUUAAUAUAAUAAUUAAAUAUUCACGAGAAUCAUAUCACCUUUAUUUAUUUUAAAAAAUUAAAAACAAAAUUAAUUAUGUGUAUAUUUAAGUUUCAAUUACUUCAAAAUUACUUCACUUAAAAAAUUACGAUAAAGAAUUAGUUAUAUAAAGCCUUUUUAAAGGUUCAUUUAAGCAAAUUAAUGGUCAAUCACACAUCUAAUUAUUAAACAAGUUAACUAAAGAAUAGAUUAAGCAAAAACAAUAUAUAUAUAUAUAUAUAUAUAUGUUCAACGAAAGUUAUGAUUAAGACACAUCUAAUUAUUAAAUAAGCUUAAUAAAAAAUAAAUUAAGCCUCACUAAAGACAUGCGCAGGUUCCGAGAACAAGUUGACUCUUGUCAAGGUGGUGAGCUCGGUGAAGGCAUUGUAAUACUCAGAGUAUGAAAAUAGAUAUGGAUCAACCUUUAAUGGGUUGCCCCCAUAGGUAAAGGUGGAGAGCUACCUGGACUCUUGAGACUAAGAGUGAGAGACUCACAGAGAAGUAAGGCGUGGUUCCUAGGGUGGAACAGAGGGCAGAUGCAACUCCUGGGUGAGUAGACUCUUGGAAGUAUGGUGAGCUCGUGAUCAUAUUGAGAUACUCAAAUAAUGACUGUCGCACUUGGAAAUGGAAAUUUCCGUUUGAGGGGGUGUUGUAAGCCUUGGUGUGAGGCUUGAUGAAUCAUUCCGGACCGAGCAUGGUUAAUACGCUCGAAGGGGAAUGUUGUGUCCCAGAGACAAGCGUGAACACUCUUCAGAUGUGAAGUGGCAGACCAUCUGGUUGUAGUGAUCCUUUUGUGUGAGAAAAGGUGUACUUUGGUGACUCUGGUGAUUGAAAGGUGUGGCAAGUACCUGUAAACUUGGCCGGAGAUGCUCUCGGAAUGGUAAGCUUGGAAGAGUUGCAAGAUGCAAGCUUGUGCUAAAGAAGUAAGCGGGCAACUGCCCAACAUGAAUGGCAAAGGGGGUGAUUGUUGGGUUGGUUGCCAUUGCAUGUGCAACCUACCCUAUAAAGAAGUAGGGUUACCAUUUGUCAAUGGUGGUUGCACCCACCAUUGACAAAUGUAUCAACCCAUGUGCGGCUGCUGUUAUUGAAGAAGAAGAGCCACCAUCCUUGCCUAUAAAUAGGCACCAAGAAAGAGAGCAAAAUGAGAGAGUUGUGAGAAUGUAAAGAGUGUGAAGAGAGAAAGAAAGAGAAGGGCUGCUGCCUUAUGCAGCUGCUGCCCUAUGCAGCAAUGAGAGAUGGGAGUUGAGUGGAUGUGAUCCUCCUCCAUGUUUGUAUUCUUUCUCUAUCUCUAAAUAAUAUAGACUCUCUCCCGUGGAUGUAGGCGAUCUGCCGAACCACGUUAAAUAUUGUGUCAGUGUGCUUGCUUUUCGUUGAGCAAUUAUCAGUACAUCACCGGUCGGAGUUUCCCCAACAUUCAUGUACGCCUGAAAGGAGCCAUGGAAUUUCAACAAUGCCAUCUCCAAGGAGCCAUGGAACUUUAAAGUGGGAUGUCGUGUACGCCUGAAUUGUAUAGUGACAAUGGUGGAACUGAUGCGGUUGCAUAGCACCAACCAGUACUUUCCUAAUGAUUUCCUUGCGGAAAAAAUUAAGGCAUGUUGGAAAACGAUGCCACCCUAACAAUUAAUCCAAGAGUUCAAAUUCAACUUGAAUAAAAGCACGAUAAAUGGAUAAUUUAGAGGAGAAAGGAUCCAAGAACAUCAUGAAGGGAUGGUUCUAUUUUGUUACGCAACAAUCUCAACAGCUAAUUAAGAGGUUAGAUUGUAGGGUCUAAUUUCAAGUGCAAGACUCUAUUGAUUCUCAUCAUUAUAGUAAUAAAACCAUGACCAUUUUUAUUAAAUUAAGAGGAAACACAAAAUUAAACAAGAAAAUCUUAAGAGUUCAGAAAUAAAUCUAACAUUGUCGAACAGACUGUGAGCAAACCCAGAUUUGGUGGAAGAUAGAAAUAUGAAGAGAGAGCAGAAAUUGAUGGUCUCCUUGUUUUUCAUGGUCUCCUUGUUUUGCAUUUAAGGUUCGGCCAUCUAAGCUUCUCAUUGGGUUUUAAUUUCCUGAGUUAAUUUCAUCAUGGCUGGACUUGAAUAUCUCUAUAUAUACACUUAAGGCUGGGUGAGCUUGUCUCUUUAGCAGGCCUUCUUAGGCUUUUGUUCUUUCAAACAAUGUCAGCUCUAAGCCCAUUAUUUUACAGAAAAGGUAAAAUACACUUGUCAUGGCUGAUUGAAAUCGUGGAAGAAAAAACUAGAGGAAAGAUAACCGAUUGACCCCCAACGAAGACCAAUGCAGAGGAAUUUCAAAGGGGAAAAAAGGUGGCGGCUUUAUGAUGCAGUUCAUCUAAAGAUAAACCUAAUCUGAAUUAAUUGUUCGGUCUCCUUCAAAGCGAAAUAACUUUGCCAGGUUUCCUCCCAGUGACAUUACAUUAUUAAAGUUAAAAGCGCUGAAGCACAAUUCAAAGACAAUAAGUAGUAUUAAACUUAAUAAGCUAGUUCAAUGGAGGAGAAUGGUGUGCUGAAACACUAUGAUUUUCAAAAAAAUUGAAGCAUAUCAGAUCCAUGCUGCUGCAUUCGCAAGAAACGAGCACCCAUCAACAAUGUGCUAAAUGUCAAUGCAGAGCUUUAAAUCAUCUACAGAGGCUCAUGAAGAAAAUAGGCAUAAAUGAUAACAGAUAACACACCAGAGCACUCUACGUAAACUGAUAUCUUUAGAAAAUUCAAAGGCAUGAAUGAAAAAGAAAAGCGAGGAAUAUCUAAGUCAACUCUUAAUUUGUAACAGUCCACAACUUCAUGUUUGGUGUGUACUGUAAACCAUGCUCUCCACAUAAUCACGAGCUUCAUCUGCAAAAAACCAUUUUCACUUCUGGGGACAAGGGAUCAAACAAAUAUAAACCUGUUGUUGGAUUACAUUCAUAAUUUAUAUCAAGCCCUAGCUGCUGCUCGAAGGUAAGAAUUGGCUGGUUGCUCAGCACAACAUAACUGAUACAAACAAUUACUGAUACAAGCAAAGGACAAACACAAGUCACAUCAAAACAGAAAGGCUAAGCAACAAGAACACUUCUCACAGGCAAAUUGCUAAACAUGUAGUUAGCAACCAUUGAUUUGGAAUGCGACUGCUUCUCCACAGAGGAUUACAACAAAUUCAGAAAGCAGCCCACACGCUCCUGAUAAGAUCCAAUCACCUUCUGAAUCUGGACAACUUGGGAAAGUUUAUAGCCAAAAAGCAGCAGCAAGUGUCAAUGCAUUCUUCAAUGAAGUAAAACCAUCUGCGUCGCCAAUGCGGAUAUAUGCACAGUACUGCUGCAAUUGUCAACACCACAGUUAUGUAACACCCACCAAAGCUGGCAUAGAAACUGUCCAUGUCUAUGAAGCCACCAUCUCCAUUGAAAUCGUUAGGCACUCUAGCGGAUGGUGAUUCUGUUUUGUCGCAACUUUUUUGCAAUGGAGGUCCACAAAGAAGAGGAUUCCCUUUAUAACUGCUCUCAUCAAAGGUACAAAUUGAUUUUUCAUCUCCGGUGUUCUUCCUGACAAAUUAUUGUACGACACGUUGAAAACUGCUAAAAGGUCAGUUCAACGAGUUGUGCAGGAAUUCUCCCAUUCAAAUUGUUGUGAGAAAGAUCCAAGCUCUCUAUCUGCUUCAGAUUGAGAAGGAUGAAGGGAUCAAUCCAGUGAGAUUAUUUGUGACAGAUUUAGAGAAUAUAUCCCACUUAAGUUUCCCCAUUCUGUCGGGAUUUCUCCAGUGAAUCUGUUACAAGAAAGAUCCAUAACAGACAUGUAACGAAGGAUAUCGCCUUCGUAAGUGUAGAAAUUUUUCUUUGUGUAAGCUCUACAGAUAUUUUUACACUGAUCUCUGGCACAAAGUUUUGUAUAAGAUAAAAAGCCACGUUCAAAAAUUCUUUCAGGUUCCAUCAUCUUUUGAUCGUAAAGUUAACCAAGUUUUUUCAUCUGAUGCCGUAAAAUUUAAAUUGCUCAAACAUGAGGGUAACAGACCAGAAAAAUUAUUUUCUGAAAGAUCCAAUAUGCUUAAUUUCCUUAACAAGCAUAACUGAUGAGGAAGUUUCCCAUUGAAUUGAUUAGAUUUGAGAACAAAAAUGCUCAAUUCCGAAAGGCUAUCAAUCCAAUUUGGAAUGGGCCCAGUUAAGUUGUUAUCGCCGAGAUCUAAUGUCACCAACGAAGAGAGAUUAUAAAAAUCAUAUGGCAGUGGACCGCUCAAUUGAUUUCCGUAAGGUGGACAUAGCGUAAAUCUGAUGCAUGGAAGCCCAACGGUAAUGACCCAGACAGAUUGUUUUCAGAAAGAUCUAAAAAUUCAAGCCCAGAAGAAUUGAAAUAUUCUAUUGGAAUGGUACCUUCAAAAUGAUUUCUGGACAAAUCAAUUCCCUCAAGUGUUUUUGAAGAGUUCCCAUUCCCCUUGGAAGCAUGCCUGACAAAAGAUUGUUACUGAUAACCAACCACGAAAAUGAUGAUGCAAGAGAAAAGGUACCCGAUACUUGUCCUGCAAAUUUGUUUCCAUCGAGAAAGAGGUAGUCUAGGUGAGUCAUGUUGAACACAGAUGGUGGUAAUCGCCCAUUGAAGCUGUUGUUGGACAGCUUCAAAAACCACAAUGAGGAGCCUACUGUUGGCAAAUUAUGCUCAAGCAGUUCACAAGACAUGUGAUUGUUGGAAAGAUCCAAGUAUUCGAGAGAGCUCAUAUUCCCAAAACAAAGAGGAAUACAACCUGUGAGGCUGUUGUUGGCCAUCAUGAAGUUCUUCAAACGUGGAAAAAUCGAACAUAUGUUUCUUGGAACUUGACCAUGUAUGUUGUUGCCAGACAUAUCUACUGUCUGAAGGUUGGGUGUUGGAUGUUGUGGCAGCUGCAAAGGACCUAUAAAUGAGGUGUCUCUCAAAUAUAGUCGAUUUAACUUUCUAUUAUUCUCAAACAGCCAAGAUGGGAAAGGUUCUCCAACGAAUUUGUUGUGGGAUAGAUCAACAAACAUCAAAUCAUGUUGGCUAUGGAGGAAGUUUGGAAAUCCAGCCUCGAGUGGUUUUGGAGUACAGUUUGAAGCACUAAAAACACGAAGCUGGAACUUGGGAGCUGAAAGCUGAAAACUGGGUGCAGCUAUUAGCUCAUUGUUAUCGCAUUCAAAGAGCUUGAGGUUGGAGAGGUUCAUAAAUAAACCAAAUGAUAUUGGAACUUGAAAGUAGUUAUUUGAAACUGAGAGGUAUUUAAGCUGCGUAAGAUGGGUAAGGUGACUAGAGGCAAUAUUUCCCUCUAAUUGGUUGUCAGAUACAUCCAAGACUUGUAGAGAUGAUAGAUUUCCCAAACAAGGAGGGAGUACGCCCUUCAGAUUGUUUCUUGAGAGAGAUAGUUGUUCAAGAUUCUUUAGCUCACACCAGCCUGUAGAAUAUAUCAAUAUGUUCAUGUUAAGGGAAUAGGAAUAUAUCAAUUAUGUAAUUGCUAAGUACGGUUUUAAAGUUUUAGUUGAUUUUUGUUUCAUUAGCUAGGUCGGUUUCAGAUUAUAUUUAAACAACUUUGUUUUAUAUAUAUAUAUAUAUAUAUAUAUAUAUAUAUAUAUAUAUAUAUAUAUUAGAGAUUUGUUAUUUAGAUUAUUGAUAUCCAUAAUUUUUUUAAUUCAAAGUUUUCUAGAAACGAGAAAUUUUAGAAAUUGAGAAACCCUAGAUUUUAUCCUUUGCUAAAUAUAGUGUAAAGUUAGGAGUAAGCCUUCAAUUCACACCAACCUAUACAAUUUAUCU